UUUCCUUCGGGACAGAAGAGACAGGUGGUGCAUGGUUGUCGUCAGCUCGUGUCGUGAGAUGUUGGGUUAAGUCCCGCAACGAGCGCAACCCCUAUCUUCAGUAGCCAGCGGUCCGGCCGGGCACUCUGGAGAGACUGCCAGGGAUAACCUGGAGGAAGGUGGGGACGACGUCAAAUCAUCAUGCCCCUUAUGAUCUGGGCGACACACGUGCUACAAUGGCGGUUACAGAGUGAGGCGAACCCGCGAGGGGGAGCGAACCACAAAAAGGCCGUCCCAGUUCGGACUGUAGUCUGCAACCCGACUACACGAAGCUGGAAUCGCUAGUAAUCGCGAAUCAGAAUGUCGCGGUGAAUACGUUCCCGGGUCUUGUACACACCGCCCGUCACACCAUGGGAGUCGGAAAUGCCCGAAGCCAGUGACCCAACCAUCAGGAGGGAGCUGUCGAAGGUGGAGCCGGUAACUGGGGUGAAGUCGUAACAAGGUAGCCGUAUCGGAAGGUGCGGCUGGAUCACCUCCUUUCUAAGGAA
Molecule: ribosomal RNA, 527 nt
Filed under: Eubacterium sp. An3
Lineage: Bacteria; Bacillati; Bacillota; Clostridia; Eubacteriales; Eubacteriaceae
Description: bacterial SSU rRNA
Rfam family: Bacterial small subunit ribosomal RNA
Source: RNAcentral